This 460-nucleotide ribosomal RNA is filed under the name uncultured bacterium. RNAcentral's name for it is "partial 16S ribosomal RNA". It matches the Rfam family "Bacterial small subunit ribosomal RNA", at positions 338 to 795 of the family's 1533-position model. The record is from RNAcentral.
CCUACUGUCUGCUGCAGUGAGGAAUAUUGGUCAAUGGACGAGAGUCUGAACCAGCCAAGUAGCGUGAAGGAUGACUGCCCUAUGGGUUGUAAACUUCUUAUAUAUGGGAAUAAAAUGUUCCACGUGUGGGAUUUUGUAUGUACCAUAUGAAUAAGGAUCGGCUAACUCCGUGCCAGCAGCCGCGGUAAUACGGAGGAUCCGAGCGUUAUCCGGAUUUAUUUGGUUUAAAGGGAGCGUAGGUGGAUUGUUAAGUCAGUUGUGAAAGUUUGCGGCUCAACCGUAAAAUUGCAGUUGAAACUGGCAGUCUUGAGUACAGUAGAGGUGGGCGGAAUUCGUGGUGUAGCGGUGAAAUGCUUAGAUAUCACGAAGAACUCCGAUUGCGAAGGCAGUUCACUGGACUGCAACUGACACUGAGGCUCGAAAGUGUGGGUAUCAAACAGGAUUAGAUACCCGGGUAGUC